AUACUUAUCUGGCAGGGGAGAUGCCAUGAUCACAAAGGUGGUUUUCCCAGAACAAGGUUUAUAUGUUGCAAUCUGUAUGUGCUGACCCCUGCAAUUUCCCCAAGUGUGGGAUACUCGACUGCAUAAUUUGUGAUAGUGGGGGCCUACAUUAGUUCUCUCCCCUG
Molecule: small nuclear RNA, 164 nt
Filed under: Carlito syrichta (Philippine tarsier)
Lineage: Eukaryota; Metazoa; Chordata; Mammalia; Primates; Tarsiidae
Description: U1 spliceosomal RNA (ENSTSYG00000028336.1)
Rfam family: U1 spliceosomal RNA
About the family: U1 is a small nuclear RNA (snRNA) component of the spliceosome (involved in pre-mRNA splicing). Its 5' end forms complementary base pairs with the 5' splice junction, thus defining the 5' donor site of an intron. There are significant differences in sequence and secondary structure between metazoan and yeast U1 snRNAs, the latter being much longer (568 nucleotides as compared to 164 nucleotides in human).
Source: Rfam by way of RNAcentral